This 305-nucleotide ribosomal RNA is filed under the name uncultured bacterium. RNAcentral's name for it is "partial 16S ribosomal RNA". It matches the Rfam family "Bacterial small subunit ribosomal RNA", at positions 506 to 809 of the family's 1533-position model. The record is from RNAcentral.
ACAGCAGCAGCCACGGUAAUACAGAGGGUGCAAGCGUUAAUCGGAAUUACUGGGCGUAAAGCGCGCGUAGGUGGUUUGUUAAGUUGGAUGUGAAAGCCCCGGGCUCAACCUGGGAACUGCAUCCAAAACUGGCAAGCUAGAGUACGGUAGAGGGUGGUGGAAUUUCCUGUGUAGCGGUGAAAUGCGUAGAUAUAGGAAGGAACACCAGUGGCGAAGGCGGCCCCCUGGACAAAGACUGACGCUCAGGUGCGAAAGCGUGGGGAGCAAACAGGAUUAGAGACCCGAGUAGUCCCUGUCUCUUAUAA